Mobula hypostoma (lesser devil ray) is the source of this 1145-nucleotide long non-coding RNA. RefSeq lists it as uncharacterized. The record is from RefSeq and is a predicted model, not a curated record. NCBI's taxonomy places the organism in Eukaryota, Metazoa, Chordata, Chondrichthyes, Myliobatiformes, Myliobatidae. The transcript has 3 exons.
CCAUAUACCACCCCGAAAUUCAUUUUCUUGCAGACAUACACAGUAAAUGCAAAGGAACACAGUAGAUCCGUCGUGAAAAGCAAUGAAAUGGACUUUCUAACAUCGCCCCGCUCGCUGUGAAAAUGGGGGACACCUUCCCCUCCCUCGCCAGGCAGAGAGAGAGAACCUGUGGGUUGCCGAAUGCCGGAUGAAUUGCGAUAGUCUUUGGGGUAACUGCCAGGCAACCGCAAAACACAGAAACCCAGAAGAACCCAUAACAAAGAGAAGAGCAUUAAACACCCAACGUGCAGAGAAAAUAAAACAAAUCAUGUAAACAACAGACCCCGCAAAUGUCAUUCUGAGCUGAAGUCCACAAAGAGAGUCCGUCCGCAGUGCCUUCGAUUAACACAGAGCCUCAGGCCCCAACACCCUGACCUUAGUGUUAUUAACUAAGGAGCUUCAUGGCAGCGUCGCAGAUAGCUUCAUGCUAUUACAGCCCAGUGAUCAGUGAUUUGGGUUUAGUUCCUGCCACUGUCCAUCAGGAGUUCGUACAUUCUACUUGUGACAGUGUUGGUUUCCCCUGGUGCUCUGGUUUCCUCCCACAUUCCACAGACGUACGGCUGAUGGAGAGGAUUGGCCCAUCUGUGGAAAGUGUUUUCAAUAGUGAGCAGAAGCUGUGAACCGGACAUCAAACCUGUCAUCUUCUCACUGGGUCCCAGAGCUUGGAUGAAAGCAACUAUUUUAAAAUUAAUUACAUGACUGAGGGAAACGACGACUGUGUGAAGAUUCAAGGACCUCCACCAUCCAGGCUUUUGCCCUCUUCUGGCUGCUGCCACCAAGGAGAAGGUAUAGGAGACUUAAGUGUUGCACCACCAGGUUCAGGAAGUUAUUACCCCUCAACGCAUCAGGCUCCUGAACCAGUGUGGAUAACUUCACUCACCCCAACUCUGAACUGAUUCAACAACCUGUGGACUCACUUUCAAGGACUCUGCACUCUUGUUCUUAGCAUGUUUUAUUUAUGAAUAUUAUUAUUUUUUUUGUAUUUGCACAGUGCAUUUUGCUUGGUUGUCUAUCUUCGUGUGUAGAUUUUCAUUCACUCUAUAGUGUUUCUUUGUAAAUACAGUGAAUGCCCGCAAGAAAAUGAAUCUCGGGUUGAAAAUGAUGAC